GAUGAAGAACGUAGCGAAAUGCGAUAAGUAAUGCGAAUUGCAGAAUUCAGUGAGUCAUCGAAUCUUUGAACGCACAUUGCGCCCUGUGGUAUUCCGCAGGGCAUGCCUGUUCGAGCGUCAUUUCAACCCUCAAGCCUCGCUUGGUGUUGGGCCCUGUCCGCCGCGGCCGGCCCUAAAGAUAGUGGCGGCGCCGCCUGGCCCUCAGCGUAGUACAGCUCUCGCUCCAGGGUCCGGCGGCAGCCUGCCAGAACCCCCCAACUCUGUGGUUGACCUCGGAUCAGGUAGGGAUACCCGCUGAACUUAAGCAUAUCAAUAAGCGGGGA
Molecule: unclassified non-coding RNA, 323 nt
Filed under: soil metagenome
Description: partial contains 5.8S ribosomal RNA, internal transcribed spacer 2, and large subunit ribosomal RNA
Rfam family: 5.8S ribosomal RNA (bases 1-120)
Source: RNAcentral